GAAAGGCGCUUUUGCGUCACUGAUGGAUGGACCCGCGGUGCAUUAGCUAGUUGGUGAGGUAACGGCUCACCAAGGCAACGAUGCAUAGCCGACCUGAGAGGGUGAUCGGCCACAUUGGGACUGAGACACGGCCCAAACUCCUACGGGAGGCAGCAGUAGGGAAUCUUCGGCAAUGGACGAAAGUCUGACCGAGCAACGCCGCGUGAGUGAAGAAGGUUUUCGGAUCGUAAAACUCUGUUGUUAGAGAAGAACAAGGAUGAGAGUAGAAUGUUCAUCCCUUGACGGUAUCUAACCAGAAAGCCACGGCUAACUACGUGCCAGCAGCCGCGGUAAUACGUAGGUGGCAAGCGUUGUCCGGAUUUAUUGGGCGUAAAGCGAGCGCAGGCGGUUUCUUAAGUCUGAUGUGAAAGCCCCCGGCUCAACCGGGGAGGGUCAUUGGAAACUGGGAAACUUGAGUGCAGAAGAGGAGAGUGGAAUUCCAUGUGUAGCGGUGAAAUGCGUAGAUAUAUGGAGGAACACCAGUGGCGAAGGCGGCUCUCUGGUCUGUAACUGACGCUGAGGCUCGAAAGCGUGGGGAGCAAACAGGAUUAGAUACCCUGGUA
This 602-nucleotide ribosomal RNA is filed under the name uncultured bacterium. RNAcentral describes it as "bacterial SSU rRNA". It matches the Rfam family "Bacterial small subunit ribosomal RNA", at positions 202 to 792 of the family's 1533-position model. The record is from RNAcentral.